UUGAAAAGCUGCUGGGCUGGCGAGAGUGAAUGUAAUUGUGCCGACAGGAAUGUGCAAGUCGUGGAUACGGAAGAGAACAAUGGAAGUACAUAAGUGCUGAGGGAAGAAAUGGCGUCUAAACAGCAGAAACGUGUUCUAAAAUAUAUCAAAUGAUUUUCUUUUUCUGCUGUUACUGCGUGGAAGGAAAGGAUGGAAAAUUUAGGAAUUGAUUUCAAACAAUAGUUUAUGAUAACCAGGGGCAUCAUCCCAAUGCAUUCCUCUUAUCAGGAACAUCGCAAUACGUGUGAGUGCAUAAUCUGGUGUAGACCUUGACUUCACCCUCAGCUGAAACCUAUCGAAUACCGCCUGAUCUAUGCAUGAUCCUGAGCCACAAUUGCGGAGUUGGGUAGAGUACAAAAUCAUCAUCCAAGCGGCCUGAUCAUCAUCGAGGAAUGCAAAUGGAGAAGGUUUUCAACCGGAGAAGAUGCGUACGAAUAUGGUAUAAACAAAGACUGCACUUCAUGGAUUAAUAGACACGAUCUUUGGCGACUCAGCGUUGGGACAUUCAUUCCGCUGUAAGAUUGCGGGUUCAAAUGCCAUGCAGUGAAAGCUUGAUUUGAAAAGUGUCUAAUUUUUUCGAUAAAAUUUGAGGCGAUAUUUUUCGCAACAAUAUGCAAGUCUAAUUACAGGCUAAUUCAAAGACUCCAAAAGGGCCUUACCUGUCAGUGGUAGGCCUACUGAAAGAUAAAAAGGCCGAAUUUCGCUCCAGUUUUCGGAACCUAUGCAUAGGUAUAAUUUCAUAGAGAAAAUAGACAGUCAUUUUGAUGUUACUUGUAUCUUGCAAAAUCCAGUUUAGUAUUGUAUACACCUAGAUGGAUUUUAAUUCUCCCAUGCCUAGUAGCUUAAUGAUCCAAACUAUUUGAUAAAGUGUAAUAGAAAUAAAUAUUCGUAAUAACCUGUAUUAUUUCUCCAUAUUUUAAGUUUUGUGCAAGUAUUGGAACGACUGUCGACAAAAGUUUCCACUUGGGUGAGCACCUCAAACUUUUACAAAGUUCGCAGAAAUGAUUUGCGCCAAAAUGGGGAAAAUGUAUGGAUUUUGCCCUUCUAACUUUUCUUAUGGCCAAACGCAUUUCCUUGAGCGCCCUCAGGUCCAACACGUUAAUUCCCUGGCGUAUCAGUGGAUGGGGGCUUGGGGUCUUGGCUGCCGAAAGUUGGACCAUGAAAAAGGGGAAAAAGAAAAAAGGGUGAAAUAUAUAGUUUCCACAUUUUCUAAAUAUAUAGCAAAGUUAGCUUUUCGCACUAAAAAUGCCAAACUUUUUGCUUACUCGCCCGGAACUUUUUUUUAGAAACUGCCCCAUGCCCAUUGUUUGAGCCCCGCAAAAUCUUUGGUUAUUAUAACACCACUGCAUUAAUCUCUUUCAUAUUUUUCCCUCGUCUUCAGCUUAGACAAAUAACUGACUUACCUCGAGUUAACAAAAUAUUCAUUCAGGUAGCAAUUACAGUUGUCCAAACAAGUUUUAAUUGUAUUUGCAUGGACUCAAU
Long non-coding RNA from Lytechinus variegatus (green sea urchin), 1521 nucleotides. RefSeq lists it as uncharacterized. Lineage: Eukaryota; Metazoa; Echinodermata; Echinoidea; Temnopleuroida; Toxopneustidae. The transcript is spliced from 4 exons. The record is from RefSeq and is a predicted model, not a curated record.